RNAcentral lists this transfer RNA (66 nucleotides) under Hydrophilidae sp. BMNH 1274335. RNAcentral's name for it is "tRNA-Phe". Lineage: Eukaryota; Metazoa; Arthropoda; Insecta; Coleoptera; Hydrophilidae. The record is from RNAcentral.
AUUUAAAUAGCUUAUUGAAAAGAGCGUAAUAUUGAAGAUAUUAAGGAAACAUGAAUUGUUUUUAAA